AGCCUGCCCAGUGACUAAGUUAAACGGCCGCGGUACCCUAACCGUGCAAAGGUAGCGCAAUCACUUGUUCUUUAAAUGAGGACUAGUAUGAACGGCAUCACGAGGGUUACACUGUCUCCCUAUUCCACUCAGUGAAACUGAUCUUCCCGUGAAGAAGCGGGAAUAUAAAUAUAAGACGAGAAGACCCCAUGGAGCUUUAAACUCAGUGUCAUCUGCCACUUCAAUACCCUCUUAAUUACGCAGACCAUGAUAACUAGUUUUCGGUUGGGGUGACCGCGGAGUAAAACAAAACCUCCACAACGAAAGGAACUAACAACCUAAUCCAAGAGCAACAUCUCUAAGAAUCAACAAAUUGACUUAAUUGAUCCAAUUACUUGAUCAACGAACCAAGUUACCCUGGGGAUAACAGCGCAAUCCAUUUCAAGAGCUCAUAUCGACAAAUGGGUUUACGACCUCGAUGUUGGAUCAGGGUAUCCCAGUGGCGCAGCAGCUACUAACGGUUCGUUUGUUCAACGAUUAAA
Molecule: ribosomal RNA, 521 nt
Filed under: Microhyla nilphamariensis
Lineage: Eukaryota; Metazoa; Chordata; Amphibia; Anura; Microhylidae
Description: partial 16S ribosomal RNA
Rfam family: Bacterial large subunit ribosomal RNA
Source: RNAcentral